UCAAGCUACAAAGAGCAUAGGGAGGAUGCCUUGGCACCAAGCGCCGAAGAAGGACGUGGCAGGCUGCGAUAAGCUGCGGGUAGUUGCGAGCAAACGGUAAACCGCAGAUUUCCGAAUGAGGGAACUCACAUAUGGGAAAGCAUAUGUAACGUUACAUGAAUCAAUAGUGUAACGUGGGGAACCCGGUGAACUGAAACAUCUUAGUAACCGGAGGAAAAGAAAGUAAACACGAUUUUCUGAGUAGCGGCGAGCGAAAGGGAAAGAGCCUAAACCUUUGGUUUUCGGACCGAAGGGGUUACGGACAGAGAGAAAGCGAAAGCUCCUUAGCAGAACACUGAAUGAAAGCAGGACCGGAGAGGGUACCAGUCCCGUAAGCGAAAAGGAGGCAAGCGGCUCUGAAUCCAGAGUACCACAGGACACGAGGAAUCUGGUGGGAAGUCGGGGGGACCACCCUCCAAGGCUAAAUACGACUUGGUGACCGAUAGCGAAUAGUACCGUGAGGGAAAGGUGAAAAGAACCCCGGGAGGGGAGUGAAAGAGUACCUGAAACCCUAUGUUUACAAGCACAGGAAGAACGUUAAGAGUUCGACCUGGUACUUUUUGUAGAACGGACCGGCGAGUUACGUUAUGAUGCGAGGUUAAGGUAUGGAGUACCGGAGCCGGAGCGAAAGCGAGUCUGAAUAGGGCGAAAGUAUCAUGACGUAGACCCGAAACCGUGUGACCUAUCCAUGGACAGGUUGAAGUGAGAGUAAAAUCUCAUGGAGGACCGAACCACACUGCCGUUGAAAAGGUAGGGGAUGAGCUGUGGAUAGCGGGGAAAUUCCAAUCGAACACGGAGAUAGCUGGUUCUCCUCGAAAUAGCUUUAGGGCUAGCCUCGGGGUAGAGAGUUGCGGAGGUAGAGCACUGAAUAGGCUAGGGGGCCACAAAGCUUACUGAACCUUAUCAAACUGCGAAUGCCGUAAACUUAUACCCGGGAGUCAGACUGUGUGAGAUAAGUCUCACAGUCAAAAGGGAAACAGCCCAGACCAUCAGCUAAGGUCCCCAAGUACAGGUUAAGUGGAGAAGGAUGUGUCAGUGCAGAGACAACCAGGAUGUUGGCUUAGAAGCAGCCAUACAUUAAAAGAGUGCGUAAUAGCUCACUGGUCGAGUGCUGGUGCGCCGAAGAUGUAACGGGGCUAAAACCUGUCACCGAAGCUAUGGAUUCAUGCAAAUGAGUGGUAGAGGAGCAAUGUAUGCGGGCGGAAGCUGUACCGAGAGGAGCGGUGGACUGCAUACAAGAGAGAAUGCCGGUAUGAGUAGCGAGAGUGAGGUGAGAAUCCUCACCGUCGAAAGCCAAAGGUUUCCUGAGGAAGGUUCGUCCACUCAGGGUAAGUCGGGACCUAAGCCGAGGGCAGUAGAGCCGUAGGUGAUGGACAGCCGGUAGAGAUUCCGGCACCGCCGCACAAGCGAUUGAGGAAGCAGUGACACAGAAGGAUAGUCAGAGCGCGUUGAUGGUAGAGCGCGUCCAAGCAGUGAGGCUGAUGCAUAGUGAAGUACGUGCAUCAUAAGGCUGGGCUGUGAUGGGGAGUGAAAAUAGUAACGAAGCUGAUGAAUUCACGCUGGCGAGAAAAGCUGCUAACGAGCGAGUGAGGCGCCCGUACCGCAAACCGACACAGGUAGGCGAGGAGAGAAUCCUAAGACGAACGAGAGAACCCUUGUUAAGGAACUCUGCAAAAUGACCCCGUAACUUCGGGAGAAGGGGUGCCUAUAGAGAUAUAGGCCGCAGCGAAUAGGCCCAAGCGACUGUUUAACAAAAACACAGGUCUGUGCGAAAUCGAGAGAUGACGUAUACGGGCUGACGCCUGCCCGGUGCUGGAAGGUUAAGGGAACAUGUAAGCGCAAGCGAAGCAUCGAACUGAAGCCCCAGUAAACGGCGGCCGUAACUAUAACGGUCCUAAGGUAGCGAAAUUCCUUGUCGGGUAAGUUCCGACCUGCACGAAUGGCGUAACGAUUUGGGCGCUGUCU
This 2004-nucleotide ribosomal RNA is filed under the name human gut metagenome. RNAcentral describes it as "bacterial LSU rRNA". It matches the Rfam family "Bacterial large subunit ribosomal RNA", at positions 3 to 2021 of the family's 2925-position model. The record is from RNAcentral.